UUUUGGGUACCGGCUAACUAAUUUGAUGCUUCUAUUAAAUGUUUGGGGGUUUCUUGAGGGGUGAAAAUACUGGUAGUUAAUUUAUUGGCAUCAGUUAGCACUGUUGGAGAUUAGUUUAUUGACUUAAGGUUCCAAUCCAUGAAGUUUACAUUUUUGGUCUUUCCUUUUUAUUGCUCAUCACACACACACAUAUAUAUUUGUGCCAUGGUUAAAGUUUGUUAAUAUUAUUUCACAGAAAUAGUUAGCUAUAGAGGUUUGUUAUCAAUUUGGUUAUAGCUUAUGGUGGAGACCAAGAACAAACGAUUUUUUAUGAAAGGUUUGAUUGCAGGUAUACCCAAAUCAAGGUCUUUUAUCUAAUUGGUUGGAUAACUACUUUUCAGGUGUCUUCUGAUUACCACAGUAACACAAUUUUCUUACUCAUGCUUUGCGCUUGGUAUAUUUCUUCACUCUGAAAAAUUAACUUUUGUUGGUUGCACGUCAAGUAACAAAGGAUUCUUGCCGGAGGAGACGAACUUUUAUGGAUUCUUGCUGGAGGAGAUGAACUUUUAUGGUGUGUUUUUUCCCCUGUAUGCGUCGCUUCAGAUCAGGCUGAUGCUGUUGUUAUUAUGGAUGAGCUGUUGAAGGCCAAGGUUUUCCUUGUGAGAAUGCCAUAGGUACAAGAAAAGAUUGCCUGAAAGGUCUUUAUGGUUUAUUCUGCAAGGUUAGAGGCCUGCUGAGGCUAGCGUGAGGUCUGCUAUGGCAUCGAUGAUCUGGGUGUCAUGACUGUGAGGACUGCUCGCGCCUCUCCGCUCACAAACCGUGUGACAGAGUAAAUACUCUGGUCCACAACAAUUAGACCUUCCUCCCUCUCAGCUAUGGUAUUGCAGCACAACAAUCUCCUUCCACCUUCAUUUGUUGGGCUAGAGCGUUAGAAGACAUUCUAAUUUUCUAGCUAUAUUUUGCAAUGUUAGACUGGUCAAAUGUGUUUGUAUAUGGUCGCAGUGGCGUGAGCUUUUUCAUUACUUGAUCUGUUUAUUCAAACUCAAUUUUUCUGUUGUUGUGGAGAGGAGGAUCAUCUGCUCUUUCAUACAUAUUUAUUACCUUCACUAU
This is a long non-coding RNA of Triticum dicoccoides, 1089 nucleotides long. RefSeq lists it as uncharacterized. NCBI's taxonomy places the organism in Eukaryota, Viridiplantae, Streptophyta, Magnoliopsida, Poales, Poaceae. The transcript is spliced from 5 exons. The record is from RefSeq and is a predicted model, not a curated record.